GCCACAUGAUGACGCCAGUGUGCAGCAGCCCUCGGGCUCUGAUGACACCUCACCUAUCACCCUUGUCUGAUGGCU
RNAcentral lists this small nucleolar RNA (75 nucleotides) under Gouania willdenowi (blunt-snouted clingfish). Its description in RNAcentral is "Small nucleolar RNA SNORD83 (ENSGWIG00000024144.1)". It matches the Rfam family "Small nucleolar RNA SNORD83". Rfam says of the family: U83 (SNORD83) and U84 (SNORD84) are members of the C/D class of snoRNA which contain the C (UGAUGA) and D (CUGA) box motifs. They act as guanine methylation guides but lack complementarity to ribosomal RNA. The record is from Rfam by way of RNAcentral. Lineage: Eukaryota; Metazoa; Chordata; Actinopteri; Blenniiformes; Gobiesocidae.